This 472-nucleotide ribosomal RNA is filed under the name uncultured bacterium. RNAcentral describes it as "bacterial SSU rRNA". It matches the Rfam family "Bacterial small subunit ribosomal RNA", at positions 328 to 793 of the family's 1533-position model. The record is from RNAcentral.
CGCUAUCACUCCUACGGGAGGCAGCAGUAGGGAAUCUUCCACAAUGGGCGCAAGCCUGAUGGAGCAACACCGCGUGAGUGAAGAAGGGUUUCGGCUCGUAAAGCUCUGUUGUUAAAGAAGAACACGUAUGAGAGUAACUGUUCAUACGUUGACGGUAUUUAACCAGAAAGUCACGGCUAACUACGUGCCAGCAGCCGCGGUAAUACGUAGGUGGCAAGCGUUAUCCGGAUUUAUUGGGCGUAAAGAGAGUGCAGGCGGUUUCUAAGUCUGAUGUGAAAGCCUUCGGCUUAACCGGAGAAGUGCAUCGGAAACUGGAUAACUUGAGUGCAGAAGAGGGUAGUGGAACUCCAUGUGUAGCGGUGGAAUGCGUAGAUAUAUGGAAGAACACCGGUGGCGAAGGCGGCUACCUGGUCUGCAACUGACGCUGAGACUCGAAAGCAUGGGUAGCGAACAGGAUUAGAUACCCUGGUAG